GUUCCAAUGAUGAUUUCAAGACCUAGCAAUAGGAAGUGUCGUUUGUCACUGUAAACAGCAGCUGCUUCUUCAACUGCUUCACGUGUCUAUCUCUCGAUCAUAACCAAUUUGGUCUAGGAUACAACCCCAUCUGUAGUUGUUGGAUUCAGUUGUGGUGUGAUUUAAAUCGUAUCUAUGCAAAU
Molecule: small nucleolar RNA, 182 nt
Filed under: Zea mays
Lineage: Eukaryota; Viridiplantae; Streptophyta; Magnoliopsida; Poales; Poaceae
Description: Small nucleolar RNA Z112
Rfam family: Small nucleolar RNA Z112
About the family: Z112 is a member of the C/D class of snoRNA which contain the C (UGAUGA) and D (CUGA) box motifs. Most of the members of the box C/D family function in directing site-specific 2'-O-methylation of substrate RNAs.
Source: Rfam by way of RNAcentral